This is a small nuclear RNA of Bombina bombina (fire-bellied toad), 168 nucleotides long. RefSeq annotates it as U1 spliceosomal RNA. The record is from RefSeq and is a predicted model, not a curated record. The transcript has a single exon. NCBI's taxonomy places the organism in Eukaryota, Metazoa, Chordata, Amphibia, Anura, Bombinatoridae.
AUGUUUCCCUGGCAGGGGAGAUUUAGCCAUGAUUACUAAGGGGACUUUUCCAGAGGGAGGUUGGUUCAUUGCUCUCCGAGUUCACUGACCUCUGCAAUUUCCCCACAGGUUCGACACUCGACUGCACAAUUUAUGGUAGUGAGGGAUUGCGUUCAUAGUUUUCCCUAA